This 1526-nucleotide long non-coding RNA is filed under the name Danio rerio (zebrafish). RNAcentral describes it as "long non-coding RNA NONDRET011826". Lineage: Eukaryota; Metazoa; Chordata; Actinopteri; Cypriniformes; Danionidae. The record is from RNAcentral.
GUUGGUCUUUAUGGAUGCCCAGCCGGCACACGACCGACCUUCAACGUUGAAAUAUGGUUGAAAUAAGGUCAGAUGUGUUUUGAACGUUGAAAUAAUGUUGAUAGAACGUUUAAUGUUGAACGGUUGAAAAACAGCCUGCUUAUGACAAGGCUUCAACGUUGAAAUGUGGUUGAAAAUACGUCAGUUGUUGCUUUAAUGUUGAAACAAUGUUGAAUGAUAAAUGGUUGAAAAAAGUUACAGAAAUCCUUGUACAAAUCAACGUUGACAUUUUUUUUUAUCAUGGUCUGUAUGUUGAAUUAACGUCAUGGCUUCACCCAAUAUUCAACAUGUUUGGUUACCAUGGUAUCGGAGGACUCGGCGCACGCGGCCACGCGCAGCGCUUCACUUCACUUAAUUACGAACACCUGACCUGCAGUGCAGCAGAAUUCAGAGACAUGUAACUUAACGUACUCCAGAGACGCACUAACUUGCACAGCAUUGAAUGGAAAAGGCUUUGUCCAUGUCCAGUUGAGGGCAUCAAGAACACGUAGAUAGCCUAAACCUGUGUCAGCCUGGACAGACUGCAGUUCUGCUACUCCACGCCAAGGCUUUUGUAUGGAUGUCUGACUACUACAGUGUUCUCUAAAGGUUUUCUGGAAGCUCCAUUUGAGGGCAUCAAAGACAUACUGAUGGCCUAAACCAGUGUCAGCCUAGACAGACAGACAUCUAUUGCAGUUCUGCUACACAAGACCAAACUCUCUGCGUUUGUAUGGAUGUCUGACUAGUACGGUGUUCUCUAAAGGUAUAACUGGAGCAAAACAACAGCAUCCGUUACAGUGAAAUUUGUGUUCAUAAAAGAUAGUGAUAUAUGUGUAACAGGUCCAGUACAUUUGUCAUAAAGGUUAAAUCACAGUAAGUACUGUAAAAAUAACUUGUUUGCCUCUGCCACAACAGGUCAUGGUGUGUGCUUACUGCUCGUAGUAAACACACACACUGAUCUGAUGCGGGAGAGAUAUAUGCAAAAAUAUUUGUAUUUACUGUUUUGUUUUGCCUCACUAAAGUGUUGUUGGAGCUUGGUAUGUUCACAGUUGAAAUCACUGAAGUCACAUGGAACGUUUUGACAAUGUGUUUUGUGCCUUAUCUGGACAAUGACCAUCUUGGGACCAUUGCUGUCUGUAGAGGAUGAGGAGCAUUUAAUCUAAAAUAUUUUAGUUUGUGUUCUGAAGAUUAACAGGUCUCUGGGAUGACACAAGUAAUUAAUAACAGAACCUAUAUGAACACUUAAUGUGACAUGUAAUAGUGAAAUAGUGGUCCUACAUUCACAAAUGUGAGCCAUUAUUAUAAGACCCAUGUGAACAUGCAAUUUUUAUGAUACUAAUAAUAAUGGAAUAACAAAUUGCUAUUACUGUUGUGUUUGUGAGAGAGAAUCAAACCAUAUAUUCUACACAUUUUCUUGAUGAUUUACUGAAAUAUUUGUCUACAUGUUCCACUGUCACAGGUGCUCAGUUUUGCUGCAGUAAUGCUAAACACAAUAGAUGUACUUUAUG